UACGAAGGGGGCUAGCGUUGCUCGGAUUGACUGGGCGUAAAGGGCGCGUAGGCGGUUCGUACAGUCAGACGUGAAAUCCCUGGGCUCAACCUGGGGGCUGCGUUUGAUACGUGCGGACUUGAGUGCGGAAGAGGGUCGUGGAAUUCCCAGUGUAGAGGUGAAAUUCGUAGAUAUUGGGAAGAACACCGGUGGCGAAGGCGGCGACCUGGUCCGAUACUGACGCUGAGGCGCGAAAGCGUGGGGAGCAAACAGG
RNAcentral lists this ribosomal RNA (253 nucleotides) under uncultured bacterium. RNAcentral's name for it is "partial 16S ribosomal RNA". It matches the Rfam family "Bacterial small subunit ribosomal RNA", at positions 524 to 776 of the family's 1533-position model. The record is from RNAcentral.